ACAAAAUAUGUCGUUAAAAAAAUAUUCUGGGAAAUUUCGUGGUGACCAUAUUAUCUUUUAAAAUCCUGCAGCAUUGAAUUUUUGGUUUUCUUCGGAUCGUUAAUUGUGAAGAGAGACUGAUCCGAACUCGAAUAAUGGGUAUUUCACCUGAUUUGAUUUGUUUUAAAUGGUAAACCUAAGUCAGAAAUCUUUAUUUUGCUCUCCAAGUUUUGCAUUGCCUGGUAACUUUUUAUGCCUUCGUAGUCUGUUCUGGAUGACCUUGAUGCUUUUUCCGUACAUGGUGGUGACGAUGAUGUCCCAUUAUUGAAUUCGAGUGUGAAUCUUACAAAGAGUUUUUUUUUAUGACCACUGUUCAUAUUGUUGAAUAUACAGAAUUGAAUUUUCAGUGUUUCUAUAAAUUAGUCCUGCAAUUUUGUUUUGGUUUUUGCUUACAACAGCUUUGAGGAGAUCCCAAGUAAUUACUGUGGAGGUAUUUUCAGUGGCAAUGAUCAUGAUAUGGGUUAACUCUCUCUUAGUUGAGGAUGUCAUGGUAAUUGGGUGAGUCAGUUCUUUUUUUUUAAUUAUUAUUAUUUUGAUAAUUGGAUGAAAUCAAUAUUUAUAGUUGGAGCGAUUACCGCGUGCACUCAACCUCACAAAAUCGUUGCUGAUUUAAUGGCACAAAGGAUUGAGGAAGAACGUAAUGGGUGUUAUGAUAAUAGUUCUAUCAGUUGUUGCCAGUCUUGCUUAUCUAGGCAGAAAUUCAUCUCCAAGGUAAUAUCUAUGGAAAAUCACAAUGAUAAGAGACUGACUUGGGUUUCAUGCUUAUUGUAGAUGAGGCUCAUGAAAGAAGCUUGAACACUGAUUUGUUGUUGGCCUUAAUUGAAGGCUUAUUACUCAAAAGAUUUUUCCCUAGAUCCUUUGCAAUUCGUAUGUUUAUGUUUCUUGGAAGAAGGAAUCCUACCUAUCUCUGCGGUGUACAGAGAGAACUUCAUUUACCAGCUCGAGGUGGUUCUUUGGAUUGUGUUCGAGAAUCGCUUGCAUGAGGAGUAGAUAGAAUUAAAAGAGAUGAACAGGUAAGGAAAAAUAACUAUGAACAAAGUUACGCUACAAUUAUUCCGAAAUGUCGGUUAUUAAAGUUAAUAGAAAUUUCCUUACUUCUUGACCAAUAUGGAAAGAGUAAUCUGUUCCACAAUUACGUGGUGAUGCACAGUUAGCACUGUGGUUUUCUCAUUGCUAACUGAAGUUCCAGAAUUACGUGCGGGAUCGUGAAAACCUGGUAUCAUUUUGAAUUGCUGUUGAGACGUCUAUUCAAGCUUUAACUCUUUGAUAUUCCUUAAUUAUUGAAUAAGCAGUGUUUGACCAGGAUUUGUUAACUCCAUUAGCCUAAUAUGGAUUCAUUGGUGAAGUGUGUAUGAAGUGUGUAGGACAAUUCCAUAUAAGCAUAUAAAACACAUUCAACUAUAAGCAUAUGGCUCAUACCUAGCGCUUUAACCCUUUAUACUGGGAGAGGCCAGUAUAUAUACACAUACACUUUUCGUGGUAUCUCUACCGUCGACUUCUUUCGGAUUCAACAACAAUCUGAAAUGUCUUUCGAGAGACUUGGAGCGAAGCCAGGACAUCUUACCUUACUUAGUCAAGUCCGUAAAUAAAUCUUUAACAUCUCAAAGUAAUGUACCAGAUAAAUUUACCAGGGAUUACUUCGUUUGUUAGAGUGGUAGGUAUGAAUUUUUUGAGAUCAAAAGAAUAACAAAUACCCAAGAAAAUAAUGAUCCAAUAUAGUGGUUUAGGUAAUUUACAAUAAAAAAAGGUGUUUCGUUGUUUUUGGUAUUUUUUUUCUUCUACUAUGUUGUUGCUUUUCUGUGUGUCUGAGAGUUUUAUUAGGUUAACUCUCUAGCUUUAUGUAGCAUUCUGUUUUGUUUUGUUUUGUUUUGGUAUUCCAAUGCCCAGCCUGCAUUGUACAAACAAUUGUUUUCUUUGUGGUGAGCAUUUAUGGAUUAAUACCUAAGUAUUUCUUAUCUUUAGGGAUUUGGAAAAUUUACUCCAGUUUUGGACUGUUGAAACCCGCUGGUAUAUAGGUUUAAGUUGAUUUGGAUAAUGGGAACCAUGAAACUAUGCAAAUUUGGAAAUUCUAGCGUGCCAAUGUGAUUGUUGGUUUAUAUUAGAGUUUCCAGUAUUGCAUUCUUUCUUGAUUUCUAAUGCCAGUUAAAUCAUUGGACUCCGGGAACGAAGAUAGGCAAAAAUUUCAUGCGCCAGGUUCGUGUUUCUGCUUUUCUUCGUAUCAUUAUCAUUUUUUAUAUUUUAGGAUUUGAUCUGUUGUGUUUUCUUUUGAUUUUUUAUUUGUUGUUUUUUCUUGGUUGAUCCUUCCUAAUUGGUGUGAUCUGGAAAAAAAAAUCUAUUAAGUUUUCUGCUUUUCGUACCUGCAUUUUUCACUUUUAAGUGUCUGAUUAGAGUUUGAAUUCUUAAAAGACUUCUUUUAUUUAAGAAAUUGAAUCGGUGAAUGUUGUCUUAUAUAUUCGGUGUGUGGGUACAUGUUAGCGCAACAGUGAGAUAGACUCUUUAUGUUAAGAAUGCUUACUCACAAAAUCAACUGCAAUAUGGUCUACUUGGUUCAUGUUGUGGAGGACAUCCAGCUUUGAAUCAUUACUGAGGGUCGAUUAUUAGGGGGUACAAAUCAGUCAUGGUGGCAUUGAUGAGCAUAAAUUUAACCCAAAAUCAAUUGAUUAAAGAAGCGUUAUACUUUUUUAGAGAAAAAGUAGUACUACAAAGAAAAUGAGGGAGCACUCUAAUAGUUGAAAGCAUUGUUUUUCAUUCUUAAUGAUAUUUUCCUGAAUUGUUCGUUGCAUUUGGAUGAAUAUGUAGGAUAUUUUAUGCACGAUUGUGUACAUAUAACUAAAGAUUGUGUUUUAUUGGGUUGAGAUACCCCCUUAAGUACCUCUAAUUCAAUGAACUAAAGAUGUUCGAUAAUAACAUUGCAUUGAUUUCCAUCCCGAUGAAACCACAGAUCUGUAGUGAGUUGGUUACCUUAGCAGAUAAGGUGAUUGCGGCAAAGUAUGAGCUGGAGGAGGCGGAAGACCACAAAAUUAAGAAACUGAAAGAGUAUAUAGCAAAGGCUGUCACGAUAUAGAAUGAUCUUAUGGAAGCAGAAUAGAACGUGACUGCUUCAGAGACUAUGGUUUAAUCCAUGAUCUCUUUAAGAAAAUGAAGGUAGUCGUGUCAUGUAGAAUUAAUGUCCUUUUGAGAUAUUAGAAUUUUUUGCGUAGGAGAGUUUCAACAUUAUGUAGUGUACAUGAUUCUCUUCCACCUCCACCGUAGCAGGUACAUACUAAGUAUGUAUAUGAGCUUCAACAUUAUAUUACAUCUGUAUUAGGGUAGAACCUCUAUGGGUUAGCCAUUAAUUCUUACCGCGGCUAAUUUUAGGUGUGCCGUAACUAAGUAUCCUAAUAUAAUAGAUUUCCUAUUCUAACUUAAUUUCCUAAUUAAAAACGCUUAAUCCUAAUGCUAAAGAAUUUAACCUGACCAACAAAACACGGGGAACUGCUUAAUUGCUCCUCCUCACCAUCUGUAUAUUAGUUAUGAUCAUUAAUUUUGUUCUGUAUAUUAAUUUUGUUCUUAAUUGCAGGUACAAGUUUUAUUGAAAAUGUGUGGAUAAACAACCUAACUAAAGCACACAAUAAGGUUUACAUGUUGAUAAUUAGUUCAAUGAGGAAAGAGUGUUGCUUUUGUAUCAACAAGCGAGAAAAAGGGUAGAGGUAAUCUUCUCAUAAUCAGUGGCUCUUUAAAUCAGAUUACAAUAUAGACAGUUUGUUUGGUAUGGUAUAAGUUGAAUGAAUUGGAAGAGCUGCAGAUGUAUCAGCUGAUUAUAAUAGACAGUUUGUACGGUAAGCUGAAUUUAUUAGAAGAGCAGAUGUAUCAGUUGAUUAUAAUUGACUGUAAUGACACGUACGACCUAAUAUACAAUACCUGAUCCUUUUCUCACAACACAGAUAGUCUACUGCCUUUUUUUUCUCUCCAUACUCAUUGCAAGUGUUAAAGUUUAUUACUUUG
Molecule: long non-coding RNA, 4023 nt
Organism: Papaver somniferum (opium poppy)
Lineage: Eukaryota; Viridiplantae; Streptophyta; Magnoliopsida; Ranunculales; Papaveraceae
Exons: 5
Source: RefSeq, a predicted model, not a curated record